This 345-nucleotide unclassified non-coding RNA is filed under the name soil metagenome. Its description in RNAcentral is "partial contains 5.8S ribosomal RNA, internal transcribed spacer 2, and large subunit ribosomal RNA". The stretch from base 1 to 120 matches the Rfam family "5.8S ribosomal RNA", at positions 35 to 154 of the family's 154-position model. The record is from RNAcentral.
GAUGAAGAACGUAGCGAAAUGCGAUACGUAAUGUGAAUUGCAGAAUUCAGUGAAUCAUCGAGUCUUUGAACGCACAUUGCGCCCCCUGGUAUUCCGGGGGGCAUGCCUGUCCGAGCGUCAUUGCUGCCCUCAAGCACGGCUUGUGUGUUGGGCCUCCGUCCUCCUCCCGGGGGACGGGCCCGAAAGGCAGCGGCGGCACCGCGUCCGGUCCUCGAGCGUAUGGGGCUUCGUCACCCGCUCUUGUAGGCCCGGCCGGCGCUUGCCGACACAUCAAUCUUAUUUCCAGGUUGACCUCGGAUCAGGUAGGGAUACCCGCUGAACUUAAGCAUAUCAAUAAGCGGAGGA